RNAcentral lists this ribosomal RNA (497 nucleotides) under uncultured bacterium. RNAcentral's name for it is "partial 16S ribosomal RNA". It matches the Rfam family "Bacterial small subunit ribosomal RNA", at positions 28 to 507 of the family's 1533-position model. The record is from RNAcentral.
GAUGAACGCUGGCGGCGUGCCUAAUACAUGCAAGUCGAGCGAACGGACGAGAAGCUUGCUCUUCUGACGUUAGCGGCGGACGGGUGAGUAACACGUGGAUAACCUACCUAUAAGACUGGGAUAACUUCGGGAAACCGGAGCUAAUACCGGAUAAUAUUUUGAACCGCAUGGUUCAAUAGUGAAAGACGGUUUUGCUGUCACUUAUAGAUGGAUCCGCGCGGCAUUAGCUAGUUGGUAAGGUAACGGCUUACCAAGGCAACGAUGCAUAGCCGACCUGAGAGGGUGAUCGGCCACACUGGAACUGAGACACGGUCCAGACUCCUACGGGAGGCAGCAGUAGGGAAUCUUCCGCAAUGGGCGAAAGCCUGACGGAGCAACGCCGCGUGAGUGAUGAAGGUCUUCGGAUCGUAAAACUCUGUUAUUAGGGAAGAACAAAUGUGUAAGUAACUAUGCACGUCUUGACGGUACCUAAUCAGAAAGCCACGGCUAACUACGUG